RNAcentral lists this ribosomal RNA (253 nucleotides) under uncultured bacterium. RNAcentral's name for it is "partial 16S ribosomal RNA". It matches the Rfam family "Bacterial small subunit ribosomal RNA", at positions 524 to 776 of the family's 1533-position model. The record is from RNAcentral.
UACGUAGGGGGCAAGCGUUGUCCGGAUUUAUUGGGCGUAAAGAGCGUGUAGGCGGUUAGGUAGGUCCGUUGUGAAAACUCGAGGCUCAACCUCGAGACGCCGAUGGAAACCGUCUGGCUAGAGUCCGGAAGAGGAGAGUGGAAUUCCCGGUGUAGCGGUGAAAUGCGCAGAUAUCGGGAAGAACACCCGUGGCUAAGGCGGCUCUCUAGUACGGUACUGACGCUGAGACGCGAAAGCGUGGGGAGCGAACAGG